This 403-nucleotide ribosomal RNA is filed under the name Verrucomicrobiota bacterium. RNAcentral describes it as "Verrucomicrobia bacterium partial 16S ribosomal RNA". It matches the Rfam family "Bacterial small subunit ribosomal RNA", at positions 355 to 776 of the family's 1533-position model. The record is from RNAcentral. Lineage: Bacteria; Pseudomonadati; Verrucomicrobiota.
UGGGGAAUAUUGCACAAUGGGGGAAACCCUGAUGCAGCGACGCCGCGUGAGCGAAGAAGGUUUUCGAAUCGUAAAGCUCUGUCCUAUGAGAAGAUAAUGACGGUACCAUAGGAAUAAGGACCGGCUAAUUACGUGCCAGCAGCCGCGGUAAUACGUAAGGUCCGAGCGUUGUCCGGAAUCAUUGGGCGUAAAGGGUACGUAGGCGGGUAAGCAAGUUAGAAGUGAAAUCCUGUAGCUCAACUACAGUAAGCUUUUAAAACUGCUCAUCUUGAGAUAUGGAAGGGAAAGUGGAAUUCCUAGUGUAGCGGUGAAAUGCGCAGAUAUUAGGAGGAAUACCGGUGGCGAAGGCGACUUUCUGGCCAUAAUCUGACGCUGAGGUACGAAAGCGUGGGUAGCAAACAGG